AAAUCCUAAACGGCGAAUUAAUCAAGGGAUAAAAGAAAAACUCAACGGCUUAAAAGAUCAUAGAAAACAAAGAAAUUAAUUGUCCCAGACCUCAUUGUUCCAUCUGGAAAACGGGCUUCGAUCGGUCAUUUUUCGAACUAAUGCGUUUUCUUUCCUGAUCCUUUGUGGUCGGAUCUGGCGCGUGGAUGAGCAAAGUAUUGAAUGGCGGAUGAGUGAUAGAGGCAGAGAAGGCUCAUCUAGAAACCAACAAUGAAAUGGGUUUCAUUGCUUUAGGACAUAAAAGAGAAGGUUGGAUUAACUCAUUCUGCACCCACUAGUUCCUCCGCCG
RNAcentral lists this unclassified non-coding RNA (328 nucleotides) under Hevea brasiliensis (rubber tree). Lineage: Eukaryota; Viridiplantae; Streptophyta; Magnoliopsida; Malpighiales; Euphorbiaceae. The record is from RNAcentral.